This 438-nucleotide long non-coding RNA is filed under the name Salmo salar (Atlantic salmon). RNAcentral describes it as "lncRNA (ENSSSAG00000119514.1, ENSSSAG00020079307.1, ENSSSAG00075054125.1)". Lineage: Eukaryota; Metazoa; Chordata; Actinopteri; Salmoniformes; Salmonidae. The record is from RNAcentral.
CUUCUGUUCGGACCACCACCCAGGACAAUGGAUCUGAUCCCAGUAGGUGACCCAAAACAACGGUGACGCAGAAGGGGCAGACGGAGCGGUCUUCUGGUCAGGCUCCGUAGACGGGCACAUCGCUCACCGCUCCCGAGUAUACUACUCGCCAAUGUCCAGUCUCUUGACAACAAGGAUUCUCUUGUGGAUUCUCUUGAGGUUCCUAGGGUCUUCACCGAGGUGUCGCCCAUCUUCCCCACUUAUCCCCUGGGUCUUGCUUGCCAAGUCAACCAGCAGUUUUUGCUCAACUCCUGGUUUUCCCGUCUCUCUUUUUCCUCGUCCUCCUGGUUUUGACCCUUGCCGGUCCUGACUCUGAGCCCGUCUGCCUGACCACUCGGCCUGCCCCUGACCUCGAGCCUGCCUGCCGCCCUGUACCGUUUUGGACUCUUGAACGCUUGA